Molecule: ribosomal RNA, 736 nt
Filed under: uncultured fungus
Lineage: Eukaryota; Fungi
Description: eukaryotic LSU rRNA
Rfam family: 5.8S ribosomal RNA (bases 248-401)
Source: RNAcentral
GGAAGGAUCAUUAUUGAAAUAAACCUGAUGGGUUGCUGCUGGUUCUCUAGGGAGCAUGUGCACACUUGUCAUCUUUAUAUCUCCACCUGUGCACCUUUUGUAGACCUGAAUCCCUUUCUGAAUGCCUGGCAUUUGGGGUUGAGGAUUGACUUUUGUCUUUCCUUGCAUUUUCAGGUCUAUGUUAUUCAUAUACCCCAAUGUAUGUUAUAGAAUGUAAUCAUGGGCCUUUGUGCCUAUAAACCUAUACAACUUUCAGCAACGGAUCUCUUGGCUCUCGCAUCGAUGAAGAACGCAGCGAAAUGCGAUAAGUAAUGUGAAUUGCAGAAUUCAGUGAAUCAUCGAAUCUUUGAACGCACCUUGCGCUCCUUGGUAUUCCGAGGAGCAUGCCUGUUUGAGUGUCAUUAAUAUAUCAACCUCUCUAGGCUUUUGGCUUGUUGAGUGUUGGAUGUGGGGGUUUUUGUGCUGGCCUCUUUGUUCAGAGGUCAGCUCCCCUAAAAUGCAUUAGCGGAACAAUUUGUUGACCGUUCAUUGGUGUGAUAACUAUCUACGCUAUUGACGUGAAGCAGGUUCAGCUUCUAACCGUCCAUUGACUUGGACAAAUUAUCAUUAAUGUGACCUCAAAUCAGGUAGGACUACCCGCUGAACUUAAGCAUAUCAAUAAGCGGAGGAAAAGAAACUAACAAGGAUUCCCCUAGUAACUGCGAGUGAAGCGGGAAAAGCUCAAAUUUAAAAUCUG